CUGUACUUGGUGUUACUGCGAAGGGGGGACGGAGAAGGCUAUGUUAGCCGGGCGACGGUUGUCCCGGUUUAAGCAUGUAGGCGGAGGUUCCAGGUAAAUCCGGUACCUUUUAACGCUGAGGUGUGAUGACGAGGCACUACGGUGCUGAAGUAACAAAUGCCCUGCUUCCAGGAAAAGCCUCUAAGCAUCAGGUAACAUUAAAUCGUACCCCAAACCGACACAGGUGGUCAGGUAGAGAAUACCAAGGCGCUUGAGAGAACUCGGGUGAAGGAACUAGGCAAAAUGGUGCCGUAACUUCGGGAGAAGGCACG
RNAcentral lists this ribosomal RNA (311 nucleotides) under Klebsiella aerogenes. Its description in RNAcentral is "partial 23S ribosomal RNA". It matches the Rfam family "Bacterial large subunit ribosomal RNA", at positions 1439 to 1750 of the family's 2925-position model. The record is from RNAcentral. Lineage: Bacteria; Pseudomonadati; Pseudomonadota; Gammaproteobacteria; Enterobacterales; Enterobacteriaceae.